RNAcentral lists this transfer RNA (50 nucleotides) under Lepidoglyphus destructor. Its description in RNAcentral is "tRNA-Ser". Lineage: Eukaryota; Metazoa; Arthropoda; Arachnida; Sarcoptiformes; Glycyphagidae. The record is from RNAcentral.
GCUUUUAAUUUUUUAACUUUGAAAGUUAAUUUAGGGUAAACCUAAAAGCU